GAUGAACGCUAGCGGCAGGCCUAAUACAUGCAAGUCGAACGGUAAAUAGAGUAGCAAUACUUUAUGUGAGUGACGUACGGGUGCGUAACACGUAUGCAACCUACCCUUUACAGGCGGAUAGCUCGGGGAAACCCGAAUUAACCCGUCGUAGUAUAAUUGGAUGGCAUCAUCUGAUUAUUAAAACUCCGGUGGUAAAGGAU
This 200-nucleotide ribosomal RNA is filed under the name uncultured bacterium. RNAcentral describes it as "partial 16S ribosomal RNA". It matches the Rfam family "Bacterial small subunit ribosomal RNA", at positions 28 to 226 of the family's 1533-position model. The record is from RNAcentral.